Molecule: transfer RNA, 75 nt
Filed under: Alkalibacterium putridalgicola
Lineage: Bacteria; Bacillati; Bacillota; Bacilli; Lactobacillales; Carnobacteriaceae
Description: tRNA-Thr
Rfam family: tRNA
About the family: Transfer RNA (tRNA) molecules are approximately 80 nucleotides in length. Their secondary structure includes four short double-helical elements and three loops (D, anti-codon, and T loops).
Source: RNAcentral
AGCCGCUUUAGCUCAGCAGGUAGAGCGCAUCCAUGGUAAGGAUGAGGUCGCCGGUUCAAACCCGGCAAGUGGCUU